GAUGAACGCUAGCGGCAGGCCUAAUACAUGCAAGUCGGACGGGAUUUGGGAGCUUGCUCCUAAUGAGAGUGGCGCACGGGUGCGUAACACGUAUGUAACCUACCUUAAUCAGGGGGAUAGCCUCUCGAAAGAGAGAUUAACACCGCAUAAUAUAUUUUUAUGGCAUCGUAGAAAUAUCAAAUAUUUAUAGGAUUAAGAUGGGCAUGCGGAACAUUAGCUAGUUGGUAAGGUAACGGCUUACCAAGGCUACGAUGUUUAGGGGAUCUGAGAGGAUGACCCCCCACACUGGUACUGAGACACGGACCAGACUCCUACGGGAGGCAGCAGUAAGGAAUAUUGGUCAAUGGGCGCAAGCCUGAACCAGCCAUGCCGCGUGCAGGAAGACGGCCCUAUGGGUUGUAAACUGCUUUUGUACCGGAAUAAACCCUUUUACGUGUAGAAGGCUGAAUGUACGGUAAGAAUAAGGAUCGGCUAACUCCGUGCCAGCCGCCGCCGUAA
RNAcentral lists this ribosomal RNA (498 nucleotides) under uncultured bacterium. RNAcentral's name for it is "partial 16S ribosomal RNA". It matches the Rfam family "Bacterial small subunit ribosomal RNA", at positions 28 to 523 of the family's 1533-position model. The record is from RNAcentral.